This 345-nucleotide unclassified non-coding RNA is filed under the name soil metagenome. RNAcentral's name for it is "partial contains 5.8S ribosomal RNA, internal transcribed spacer 2, and large subunit ribosomal RNA". The stretch from base 1 to 120 matches the Rfam family "5.8S ribosomal RNA", at positions 35 to 154 of the family's 154-position model. The record is from RNAcentral.
GAUGAAGAACGUAGCGAAAUGCGAUACGUAAUGUGAAUUGCAGAAUUCAGUGAAUCAUCGAGUCUUUGAACGCACAUUGCGCCCCCUGGUAUUCCGGGGGGCAUGCCUGUCCGAGCGUCAUUGCUGCCCUCAAGCACGGCUUGUGUGUUGGGCCUCCGUCCUCCUCCCGGGGGACGGGCCCGAAAGGCAGCGGCGGCACCGCGUCCGGUCCUCGAGCGUAUGGGGCUUCGUCACCCGCUCUUGUAGGCCCGGCCGGCGCUUGCCGACACAUCAAUCUUUUUUCCAGGUUGACCUCGGAUCAGGUAGGGAUACCCGCUGAACUUAAGCAUAUCAAGAAGCGGAGGA